Molecule: ribosomal RNA, 441 nt
Filed under: uncultured bacterium
Lineage: Bacteria
Description: partial 16S ribosomal RNA
Rfam family: Bacterial small subunit ribosomal RNA
Source: RNAcentral
GAUGAACGCUGGCGGCGUGCCUAAUACAUGCAAGUCGAACGGGGAGUCGCAAUACUCUUAGUGGCGAACGGGUGAGUAACGCGUUGGUACCUGCCCCGAAGCGGGGGAUAACGGACCGAAAGGUCCGCUAAUACCCCAUGUGCUCGGUAACGAGUAAAGGUGAAAACCACUUUGGGAGGGGCAUGCGUCCCAUCAGCUAGUUGGUAAGGUAACGGCUUACCAAGGCGAUGACGGGUAGGGGACCUGAGAGGGUGGCCCCCCACAAUGGAACUGAAACACGGUCCAUACACCUACGGGUGGCAGCAGUAGGGAAUAUUGGUAAUGGGCGCAAGCCUGAACCAGCAACGCCGCGUGUGCGAGGACGGCCUUCGGGUUGUAAAGCACUUUUGACUGGGACGAGGAAGGACGGUACCGGUCGAAUCAGCCUCGGCUAACUACGUG